Molecule: non-coding RNA, 2064 nt
Organism: Aegilops tauschii subsp. strangulata
Lineage: Eukaryota; Viridiplantae; Streptophyta; Magnoliopsida; Poales; Poaceae
Source: RefSeq, a predicted model, not a curated record
CACACACCGCCCACAGAAACAAUCCAUCGCCACCCACGACUCCCUCACCCGCCACCCACGACUCCCUCACCCUGGCUAGGGUUCCUAGCCCUAUCCUCCGCCGCCGUUGCAUGUUCCCGUCUGAUCUCGCCCAAGCGCUUUGUUGACCUCGCCGGGAGCAGCCAGCUGGAUCACGCCGCCGUGCCUCCCUCUCUCCCUUCUCUUCUUUUCCCCUACCUUCUCUCUCUCCUCUGAACUGCGUGUCGCUCCGGUUAGAGGCCGGGGACACCUCGGCGCACGCCGCCUACCGGGAGACGCCGCUGCUGGACAGGGAUAGCCAGGCAGCCGUGCGCGUGCAAGACGCACAACGUGAAAUGCCCACCCUGCUCGAUUUGGAUCUCAGCGGCGGCGGCGGCGGCUCCUCCCUCUAACCGCGGGUCAGGUCCCUCAACAUGGCGGCGUCGGAGGCGGAAGCGAGGCCGGUGCUGGUGCCGGGCGGCAACAAGGCCCCGGCGGCUGAGCGGAAACCUUCUCCCAAGCCGUUGCGGAAGGCGCCGGAGAAGCCUCCAGCCGCUGACCCGGCCAAAGAGGAUGAGGUGCAGGGCGCGAAGAAGGACGCGGGGGCCGCCACUGCUGUUGGCGACGGCGGCGCUAGGAAGGGGAACUCGUCCCCAUUGCCGCCACCGAGGAAGCUGCAAGAUGCGCCGGCGGUGAACCUCAACGCGUCCUGCUCCUCGGAGGGCUCCGCGGAGUCGCUCCGCGGCCGGGCCCCAGGCGGAAGGACGGAGAGGGGUUGGUCCCGGCCGACCGCGCCCAAGCGUGGGAAGGCUGCGUCUAAGGUGGUGGAGAAGCACGCCGAUGUCGCGGAGGUUGCCGCUCCGGUGACGCCGGAGGCCGUCCGAGGGAGGAGCCGGUGCGCCUGGGUGACUCCGACCACCGUUGGAGAUGCUGCUGCUAUUUGUUCAGAUUGGGGGAGGCUAGAGAGGCUUGCUUGAUGUUGUGUUUGCUACGUCAGAGAGCAGUGAGAACUGAGAUUUGGGUGGGGUGGGGGGUGGAGGUAGCAGGGAGAGGAUGUUUGCUCGAUGGAAGAGUGCAGGGGCACGCCUCCGAGCUAGCCGAUGCAUACUAUAUCCAGUGUUCUGCUGCAUCCGGUGCCACCUCAAAGAACACCUUCUUCUAGCUGGGCAUUGAACGCCUCAAGGACGACGAGGUGCAGCAACUGGGGUGGAAGCAGUUCAACUACAUGAUGAAGAAUUGAGUGAAGGGGUUAAGACGGUUGCGUUGUGCAUGCGCUGCUUGCUUGCCGCGGGACUUGCUUAUGGAGACAUUUGCAGCUACAGAGUAAAUAUGGGAGCUCUAGCAAAGCCUUGGCUUCUCAUCUAUUUCACACUUCAUGCUUAUUGCACUGGAAUAUUUUAUGCUUAUACGAGGUGCUGGCUGAUUAAAUUGCAAAGAAGGGGAAGAGCAAACUUGGAAGAAAGGCAAAAACAGCGCCAAAGUGCAGAAUAAUCGUGGGAGGUUAUCCAACUUCAGCGUGCAUCAGAAAACGGCCAUUGCUAGCUAGCUUGUGUGCUUGCAUCAGUAGAGCACAGAGCGAUGGAUAGGGACGUAUAAGUCAGCUCCCAUGGGAAGAUGUGUGCCAAGAGGAGGCUCGGUCUAUAGUUUUCCCCACUGUCAAAGUGGCUAGACUGUCAUAUAUUCCAGGGCUUCACCUCGCCUACACAGGCACCACAUUGUAAUUGGAUGUUAAAGACUCAAAGGUAAUUCAACCAUUGCUUUGAUAUUCCUAGGUUUCUGCUAUGAAUUAAUAUUAAGAAAAUUUGUCUAUACAUACGUUGAUGCUCCUUGCAAGUCACAUCAACUCAUGUUUUAUUUCUUUCUGGAACGAGCUGCAACACACGGGCAAGAUGAAGAUUAGAGAAGGCAAUUAAGGAGGGAGAGUCAUGUUGAAGUUGAGUUUGUAUGGUUAUAGAUUUUAAUCCUUGUGCGGGUGGUGUUCUUGAAGUUUCAUUUGGUGUUGCUAUCAGCAGGCUUAUACUUUCAUCAUCUUCUACAUCAAGUAUAGUGGUUAAUUGUUUUGGUCAA